This 468-nucleotide ribosomal RNA is filed under the name uncultured bacterium. RNAcentral describes it as "partial 16S ribosomal RNA". It matches the Rfam family "Bacterial small subunit ribosomal RNA", at positions 28 to 507 of the family's 1533-position model. The record is from RNAcentral.
GACGAACGCUGGCGGCGUGCUUAACACAUGCAAGUCGAACGGUGAAGCUCCAGCUUGCUGGUGUGGAUCAGUGGCGAACGGGUGAGUAACACGUGAGCAACCUGCCCCUGACUCUGGAAUAAGCGCUGGAAACGGCGUCUAAUACUGGAUACGAGAAGGGCCCGCAUGGGCACUUUCUGGAAAGUUUUUCGGUUGGGGAUGGGCUCGCGGCCUAUCAGCUUGUUGGUGAGGUAAUGGCUCACCAAGGCGACGACGGGUAGCCGGCCUGAGAGGGCGACCGGCCACACUGGGACUGAGACACGGCCCAGACUCCUACGGGAGGCAGCAGUGGGGAAUAUUGCACAAUGGGCGAAAGCCUGAUGCAGCGACGCCGCGUGAGGGAUGACGGCCUUCGGGUUGUAAACCUCUUUCAGCAGGGAAGAAGCGAAAGUGACGGUACCUGCAGAAGAAGCACCGGCUAACUACGUG